This 2487-nucleotide ribosomal RNA is filed under the name Escherichia coli. RNAcentral's name for it is "partial 23S ribosomal RNA". It matches the Rfam family "Bacterial large subunit ribosomal RNA", at positions 323 to 2798 of the family's 2925-position model. Lineage: Bacteria; Pseudomonadati; Pseudomonadota; Gammaproteobacteria; Enterobacterales; Enterobacteriaceae. The record is from RNAcentral.
UGUGUGUUAGUGGAAGCGUCUGGAAAGGCGCGCGAUACAGGGUGACAGCCCCGUACACAAAAAUGCACAUGCUGUGAGCUCGAUGAGUAGGGCGGGACACGUGGUAUCCUGUCUGAAUAUGGGGGGACCAUCCUCCAAGGCUAAAUACUCCUGACUGACCGAUAGUGAACCAGUACCGUGAGGGAAAGGCGAAAAGAACCCCGGCGAGGGGAGUGAAAAAGAACCUGAAACCGUGUACGUACAAGCAGUGGGAGCACGCUUAGGCGUGUGACUGCGUACCUUUUGUAUAAUGGGUCAGCGACUUAUAUUCUGUAGCAAGGUUAACCGAAUAGGGGAGCCGAAGGGAAACCGAGUCUUAACUGGGCGUUAAGUUGCAGGGUAUAGACCCGAAACCCGGUGAUCUAGCCAUGGGCAGGUUGAAGGUUGGGUAACACUAACUGGAGGACCGAACCGACUAAUGUUGAAAAAUUAGCGGAUGACUUGUGGCUGGGGGUGAAAGGCCAAUCAAACCGGGAGAUAGCUGGUUCUCCCCGAAAGCUAUUUAGGUAGCGCCUCGUGAACUCAUCUCCGGGGGUAGAGCACUGUUUCGGCAAGGGGGUCAUCCCGACUUACCAACCCGAUGCAAACUGCGAAUACCGGAGAAUGUUAUCACGGGAGACACACGGCGGGUGCUAACGUCCGUCGUGAAGAGGGAAACAACCCAGACCGCCAGCUAAGGUCCCAAAGUCAUGGUUAAGUGGGAAACGAUGUGGGAAGGCCCAGACAGCCAGGAUGUUGGCUUAGAAGCAGCCAUCAUUUAAAGAAAGCGUAAUAGCUCACUGGUCGAGUCGGCCUGCGCGGAAGAUGUAACGGGGCUAAACCAUGCACCGAAGCUGCGGCAGCGACGCUUAUGCGUUGUUGGGUAGGGGAGCGUUCUGUAAGCCUGUGAAGGUGUACUGUGAGGUAUGCUGGAGGUAUCAGAAGUGCGAAUGCUGACAUAAGUAACGAUAAAGCGGGUGAAAAGCCCGCUCGCCGGAAGACCAAGGGUUCCUGUCCAACGUUAAUCGGGGCAGGGUGAGUCGACCCCUAAGGCGAGGCCGAAAGGCGUAGUCGAUGGGAAACAGGUUAAUAUUCCUGUACUUGGUGUUACUGCGAAGGGGGGACGGAGAAGGCUAUGUUGGCCGGGCGACGGUUGUCCCGGUUUAAGCGUGUAGGCUGGUUUUCCAGGCAAAUCCGGAAAAUCAAGGCUGAGGCGUGAUGACGAGGCACUACGGUGCUGAAGCAACAAAUGCCCUGCUUCCAGGAAAAGCCUCUAAGCAUCAGGUAACAUCAAAUCGUACCCCAAACCGACACAGGUGGUCAGGUAGAGAAUACCAAGGCGCUUGAGAGAACUCGGGUGAAGGAACUAGGCAAAAUGGUGCCGUAACUUCGGGAGAAGGCACGCUGAUAUGUAGGUGAAGCGACUUGCUCGUGGAGCUGAAAUCAGUCGAAGAUACCAGCUGGCUGCAACUGUUUAUUAAAAACACAGCACUGUGCAAACACGAAAGUGGACGUAUACGGUGUGACGCCUGCCCGGUGCCGGAAGGUUAAUUGAUGGGGUCAGCGCAAGCGAAGCUCUUGAUCGAAGCCCCGGUAAACGGCGGCCGUAACUAUAACGGUCCUAAGGUAGCGAAAUUCCUUGUCGGGUAAGUUCCGACCUGCACGAAUGGCGUAAUGAUGGCCAGGCUGUCUCCACCCGAGACUCAGUGAAAUUGAACUCGCUGUGAAGAUGCAGUGUACCCGCGGCAAGACGGAAAGACCCCGUGAACCUUUACUAUAGCUUGACACUGAACAUUGAGCCUUGAUGUGUAGGAUAGGUGGGAGGCUUUGAAGUGUGGACGCCAGUCUGCAUGGAGCCGACCUUGAAAUACCACCCUUUAAUGUUUGAUGUUCUAACGUUGACCCGUAAUCCGGGUUGCGGACAGUGUCUGGUGGGUAGUUUGACUGGGGCGGUCUCCUCCUAAAGAGUAACGGAGGAGCACGAAGGUUGGCUAAUCCUGGUCGGACAUCAGGAGGUUAGUGCAAUGGCAUAAGCCAGCUUGACUGCGAGCGUGACGGCGCGAGCAGGUGCGAAAGCAGGUCAUAGUGAUCCGGUGGUUCUGAAUGGAAGGGCCAUCGCUCAACGGAUAAAAGGUACUCCGGGGAUAACAGGCUGAUACCGCCCAAGAGUUCAUAUCGACGGCGGUGUUUGGCACCUCGAUGUCGGCUCAUCACAUCCUGGGGCUGAAGUAGGUCCCAAGGGUAUGGCUGUUCGCCAUUUAAAGUGGUACGCGAGCUGGGUUUAGAACGUCGUGAGACAGUUCGGUCCCUAUCUGCCGUGGGCGCUGGAGAACUGAGGGGGGCUGCUCCUAGUACGAGAGGACCGGAGUGGACGCAUCACUGGUGUUCGGGUUGUCAUGCCAAUGGCACUGCCCGGUAGCUAAAUGCGGAAGAGAUAAGUGCUGAAAGCAUCUAAGCACGAAACUUGCC